RNAcentral lists this non-coding RNA (89 nucleotides) under Fructilactobacillus florum. RNAcentral describes it as "Lactobacillus florum TPP sequence". It matches the Rfam family "TPP riboswitch aptamer (THI element)". Rfam says of the family: Vitamin B(1) in its active form thiamin pyrophosphate (TPP) is an essential coenzyme that is synthesised by coupling of pyrimidine and thiazole moieties in bacteria. The previously detected thiamin-regulatory element, thi box was extended, resulting in a new, highly conserved RNA secondary structure, the THI element, which is widely distributed in eubacteria and also occurs in some archaea. Analysis of operon structures identified a large number of new candidate thiamin-regulated genes, mostly transporters, in various prokaryotic organisms. RNAcentral also lists the same sequence under 1 other name. Lineage: Bacteria; Bacillati; Bacillota; Bacilli; Lactobacillales; Lactobacillaceae. The record is from RNAcentral.
AAAUAAAAGUUGGGGUGCCACGAGCUGAGAUUAUACCCAUUGAACCUGAUAUAGUUCGCACUAUCGCAGGAAACUUUCUUUAAUUAGCC